Molecule: microRNA precursor, 82 nt
Filed under: Notamacropus eugenii (tammar wallaby)
Lineage: Eukaryota; Metazoa; Chordata; Mammalia; Diprotodontia; Macropodidae
Description: miRNA (ENSMEUG00000017189.1)
Source: RNAcentral
AUAUGUAUGUGUAUAUCUAUGUGUGUGUAUACACAUACAUAUACAUAUACACAUACGCAUAUAUGCACAUAUAUACACACAA